UACGAAGGGGGCUAGCGUUGCUCGGAAUUACUGGGCGUAAAGCGUGCGCAGGCGGCUUAUUAAGUUGGAAGUGAAAGCCUUGAGCUCAACUCAAGAAUUGCUUUCAAAACUGAUAAGCUAGAGAGCGAGAGGGGAUAGCGGAAUUCCUAGUGUAGAGGUGAAAUUCGUAGAUAUUAGGAGGAACACCGGUGGCGAAAGCGGCUAUCUGGCUCGCAACUGACGCUCAUGCACGAAAGCGUGGGGAGCAAACAGG
Molecule: ribosomal RNA, 253 nt
Filed under: uncultured bacterium
Lineage: Bacteria
Description: partial 16S ribosomal RNA
Rfam family: Bacterial small subunit ribosomal RNA
Source: RNAcentral